This 1402-nucleotide long non-coding RNA is filed under the name Heterocephalus glaber (naked mole-rat). RNAcentral's name for it is "lncRNA (ENSHGLG00100030688.2)". The record is from RNAcentral. Lineage: Eukaryota; Metazoa; Chordata; Mammalia; Rodentia; Bathyergidae.
CUCUUUUUCUUCUCUUUCCUCUGAGCCCUUCUCCCUCGCCUCCUUCCUUUCUUCUUCCAGGGUUAAAAAUAAUCAACUUUCUGGGAAGCAGCAGCUCCCGCCGAGCAGCCCUGGGGUCCCCGGACGCCUCCCUCCCCGCAGGUAGGGCCGUCCGUAUGUCCGCGGAGGGAAACUGAGGGCUGGGUGAGGUGAUUCAGGCCAGGACGGCUCCGGGCUCCCGCCACAGACACGCGGGGCAUCCUCGGCUCGGGUUGGGGGUUCGGCCCGGCCGCAAUGGGGGCGGAGCGGGGAGCGCCGAAGUCAAAGGUGAACGGCUGAACUCGGCUGGCGCAGCGGCCCCGCUCACUCUGCGCGCCCCGACAUUACCUCAUCGCUGCGCGCGCCCAUUGGCUGCUUACCUCUUCGCCCCACGCGCCCAUUGGCUGCUUCCCACGGAGGCCGGCCCAAUGCGGCGGGAGCGUUAACCCCUUCCGUGACGAGCCCUGCGCUGCUCCUGCAGCCUCGGCUGCCUUCACGUGGCUUCGGGCGCCCGAGGCCCACGGGGGUGGGCGGGGUGCGCGGGGCGGGGCAGGCAGGCGGUCGGAGCCUCCACCGGUUAGCCCCUAGGUCGCAUCGCCCCGGUGUGGGCCCCCUGCUCCUCCGGGCUGUGUGACCUUGGGCAACCGUGCCACCUCGCUGAGCCCGGCGUGUUUGCUCAGCUGUAAACAGCAGCGGAUGAUGUCACUCGUGGCCUCCCUGAUUCCUCGGCGCCUGCCAAGCGUCGGGUGCACGUGGGCUCCGCGCUGCACAUUUUGCCUCCGCGCUGCAAGAGGUGCGGUUAUUAUUAUGAGAUUGCGGGGGGGGGAGAAAACCAGCUCAGAGCUGCAGAGCGGCUUCCCAAGGACGCACAGCGAGAGUCCCAGAGCUGGGACCCCGAGCCCGAGCAAGCCCACAGCGCCCACGGAGGGGCCCACUUCCUGCUGCAGGGACACGAUCGAUGCCUGGCCGGCCAGACCACGGCACAGGCUGCUGUAAUCACAUAAAACCAGUGCCAAGCUGAGAGCCACCCAGGGCCUCCAGAGAGGCUUCGGUCCGGCUUUGAGGGAGGCAGAGGUCCCUCAGACAAAGGCGGGGACGGUGGCGCCCUGGGGGUGCAAAGUGGGGCGGGAAGCAGCAGGGCCCCCUGUGAUUCACCUUCUGGCUGGGGCUCAGCUAACAAACUGCUGAAUAAAACACGCUCUGUCCUCCUUCCUUGACAAAUACGCUGUCGCCAUAAGGACACCGAGACCUGGGAGCCUGGGUUCGAAUUUAGAAGUCUCAGCCAGAGUUCCCACCCAGCCCCUCUUCCCUUUCUGCUCCGGGGCAGGGCUGCGUGUGCCUGGGUACAGACACCCCCUAGCCCCCACCCUAAGCCUUGGGUGGC